This 7191-nucleotide long non-coding RNA is filed under the name Citrus sinensis (sweet orange). RNAcentral describes it as "long non-coding RNA (CSIN_LNC005294)". Lineage: Eukaryota; Viridiplantae; Streptophyta; Magnoliopsida; Sapindales; Rutaceae. The record is from RNAcentral.
ACAAUGUCUGGAAAUUUCUUCAACUUCAAGCAACCAGAAAGAACAAGUGUCUUAAGAGAUUUCAUAAAGGUCUUGCCUGGAAGAGUUGUAAGACUUGUACAACAUUUCAAAUUCAACAAACUCAGCUUCUUUGACGCAGAAAAAAAUGAGUGAAUCUCCUGCAACGUUGUAAAUCUUUCAGAAAUCAGCUCCCCUAAAUUUGGUACUCUUGUGAAGUCUGAUUGGUCCUAUUAGAAAAGGCUUUAGCACUGACAUGCAUCUCUUUGUUGUUAAAGCGAUCAAAUAUGAUGCUUCAACUACAUCAGUUUCCUAAACAUUAUAACAAAAAAUAAGUGGGAACCAAAAAAAAAGAAUGAAAGAAAGAAAAUAUUGAUAAAACUAUGCAAAGGUUUAACUAGUUAAAUAAGUGAUCAUGAUCCCAAAAUUGCAAGUUUUCAAGCAUAAAACUUACAAUUUAAAAAAAAAAUGAAAAUAAAGAGAGCUGCAUAGCAUAAAACUUACAAUUUAAAAAAAAAAUGAAAAUAAAGAGAGCUGCAUAGCAUAAAACUUACAAUUUAAAAAAAAAAUGAAAAUAAAGAGAGCUGCAUAGCAUAAAACUUACAAUUUAAAAAAAAAAUGAAAAUAAAGAGAGCUGCAUAGCAUAAAACUUACAAUUUAAAAAAAAAAUGAAAAUAAAGAGAGCUGCAUAGCAUAAAACUUACAAUUUAAAAAAAAAAUGAAAAUAAAGAGAGCUGCAUAGCAUAAAACUUACAAUUUAAAAAAAAAAUGAAAAUAAAGAGAGCUGCAUAGCAUAAAACUUACAGCUUCGAUUAUGUUGCAAGCAGCAGAGGAAUUUUCUUAAUAAGAAUUCCAACAGCAAACAUUCUAGGCCCUAACAUUCCAUAUGUUUUAAAAAUCAACUACAUGUCAACGAUGCCGAAUUCCAAGGAAUCUUCUAUUUAACAAAAAGGAAAUAAUAAGAAUCAACCAUUGUCAAUUCUUAUCAACAAAGUCUUCAAAUUGACAUUGCGGUCUCUGUUGUUUAAAAGGGGAAAAAAAAAAUUCAAUAGUUGUCAAUUCCUAUCAACCAAGUCCUCCAACCAUAAUUAAAUACGGGGCUGGAGAAAAGAAAAAUAAAAAUAAAAUGUUGAAUCCUCCUGAUUGUAUCAUGGAUAAAUCUUAUUUAGAUCUGAGUCCAUAUUUUAACAUAUUCAUUGACCCAUUUUCAGACAUGUCAUGAAUUGUAAAUCAAGCCAGCGAUUCACAAAAAAACAACAAAGAAAAAAAAAAAAGAUUCUGUGUUCAGCCACAAAUGGGCUAUUUCACAGCCAAGCAAGAAAAACAAAUGAAGAAAAUUAAUUGCUUUCCACUGGUUCAAGAAUUAACACCAUUAUCGAUUGCUUCUUUAUUGGAAGAAAUAAUUUUGAAUAAAGCUCAGCAUCAUUAAAACAAAUGUGAUGAUAUUUUUUCAGUCAUCAGAUGAUAAUUUCUUCAUACAUUCAUUCUAUGGCCUGCCUCUGUUUUAUGUCUAAAACUCAAGAAAUUCUACAAUUUCUUUGUUCUACUACAUCGUUCAUUCAACAAUAAAUAAUCAAAUUCUGUCAUGUAAUUUUUUAUUUAGAAAAUUCCAAAAAAGUUAGUCGCUAGAAAAUUUAGUUAAAGACAUGUAUAGAUAAACUACCAAGGCACUGAAAAUAUGAAAUCACAACACUAUAUUGAAUCAAAACAAUAAUGUCUAUAGCGAAGGAAUCUCAAAAUCUGCUCACGAGCUAUGACUAGUGUAGGACAAACCUUCACAAAUUGACCUUGUUUGUUGAUUGCAUUUGCUUGGGAAAUCGUAGAGCUGAUGCAACACAUCAGGUGGGAUGCACGUUCCUUUGUGGGCAUAUUAUCGAACACGUCCUAGGCACAAGAAUUAUACCAUAAUCCCUCAACAAACUCCUCUCUUGAGCUUGGCCUGAAAAUUCUAUAUAAUCAUUCCUUUGUCUAUUUCUCGUUUGUUCUGAACCUAAAUCAAGCUGAGAUCGAUCAUAUUCAUACAGAUACUUGUCUUUCUUCCUAAAAUCCUCAAUUCAAGCUUGCCAAUUUAGGCACUGUUCAACAUUUGUCCGCUAAGCAUUGUAGCCUCAAUUCCCAGGUUCAAGUAUUUAAACCCAUAAAAAUUCACAGAGGAAAUGACAAGGAAGAGCGUGAACUCAAUUACACUCUCGAACUCUUCGCUGUACCUUACAAGCGGACACAUUAAAGAUUGCCGAUAAAUCAGACCCUGUGUUUAUUUGUAGCUGCUGCAAAGUGCUAACCACGGUUAACAAACUUGUGUUAAGAAUAAAUUUCAGUAUUAGCUCAGCAAUGUUCGUUAAGUCAGUUAAAUAACAGACUUUAGUGAUGUGGUUGCUGAGUCAGCAAGUUUGUUAGUAGUUCGUUAUUAACAGAUUUAAUCUUAGCUCAUGCAUUUCGUGUGUAUAGAAAGUUCCAGAUACCAGUAUAAUUAGCCUUGCAAAAUCACACAUGAAAAUAUUAGAGUUCAUCAAAUUUCUCUUUCUCUCUGGUUAUGAUUUUCCUUCAACUUUCUCAGAAACCAAUCAUUACUAACCAGUUAAGGUUAUGAAUCUAUCCGCAAGGCAGCUGUAAAUAAUUAUAUAGCUUGAUAUCUCAAUUUUGGGUAAAUACUUGUUUAAUCUAUAUAUUUUUUGUUUAAGUAUUUAUUUAGUCUUUAUAUUUUAAACAAUAGUCUCAAGAGAUCCCUGCUGUAAAGUAUAUUACAGUCAUGCACUUGCUUUUUCUUUCAUUUUAUAGGAAUACACUUGCAACAAUAUUCUUAAGGAUAUUAAUUAAUUUAUCUAUAAUGAAAGUUAAUUAUCAAAAUAACCUUAAAGGUAAAUUAAAAAUAAAUAUAAUUAUUUUAUUUUAUUUUUGGGAUUAAUUUGGUAGUUUUUUUUAAAUAAUUAUAACAAAGACUAUAAUUGCAAGGGUAUUAAGUAUUGCUUUAAGUUAGCUAGUCAUAUUUUUAUUUUAUAUCAUUAGAAGAUUGUUGUAAGAGUAUGAAAAUUACCAGUUCAUUCAAACUGAUAAUUAUUGGUUAAUUUGAUAAUAAAUAAUUAUGGGUAAAUUUGUUAAUUAACAUUUUUCAUAGAUUAAUUAAUUAAUGUCUCCAAAAUUAUAGUAACAGUAUUGUUGUAAAACAAAAGAAAAACAAAGGACAAGAGUACAUAUAUUCAAUAAGUAGGGUGUUUUGAGAUAUUUUUUAAAAUAUAAGAAAUAAACAGAUAUUUAACCUAGAGUAUAGGAACUAUUCAAACGUGUACUCUCACAACUUUUGACAUGAUUAAUAAAGGAUAAGAGCAUAUUAAAAAAGCAUUUCUACUUAAAUUUAUUAUAGUCAUGCAAAAUAGAGAAACUUUGUUAUACUGAAUGAUAAAAUAAAUAUUAAUAUAUGUGCAUAUGAGAUUAUUAUAUAACGAACCCGCUAUCAAACCCGAAGCUUGAACCUAAGUUGAGGUUUGCAUUGUACAACUCCUAUCAUUGUCUAAAUCCAGAUUCCGUAAAAUCCAAACAUCAAAAAAAACUUCUCCGAACAUCGAAAAUCCGGCUAAUGGACUGUUUAAAUACACUUAUAACCUCUUUUUCCUAAUCCAUCCGUGAAAAUCACAACAAAAAUAAAUUUUGUUUUAUUGUACAUUCAUAAUUCAAUUCGCCAAUCAUUUUUUUUUAAUCCAUCUGUGUAUAUCACAAUACGAGUAAAUUUUUUAUUGUACAUUUAUUAUUCAAUUUCAUUUUUCUCCAAAAAAAUUUAGUACGCACAUUUUUUCAAAUUUGUGGCAUGCACAUAAAGCAGAGCUUGAAUCUAAAACUUGAGUCUUAGAAGCCCUAUAAUUGGAGCUAAAUCUGGCCUCUAACAUAGUAUGUGCCCUUUCUUCAAUUUGCAGCUUUUUUGUCAGACCUAAAAUUGAUUUAAUUUGUAAUGUUACUUAGCUGGUGCUGAACAAACAGCAGCCCUUACAUCAGAAGGCGCUAAUGCAGUUCAAGUAAAUUCAUGCAAAGCAAACCCCGAGAUACAAGUAAAAUUGAAAAUGUAAGAAAAUUAGCUUACAUGUUUAAGCUUAUUGGAAGCAAUCAAAGAUGAUAAAAUUUACUUGAAUUUCCAAUUAAGUUUGUUUCAGUGAAAUCAAUGAGAGGAUUUUCACGUGUUCUAAUUAAUUUCUCAAACAACAAUUUUAAUCUAAAGUGACUGCCGAAAGUAAUAAUGAAGAAUGAUUUUGGCCUUUAGUGGAGAAAAGACAUGGUCUAUUUGAUGUUGACAAAAGCUAGCUUCAAUAAUCUACACACCAAAAGCAAGGAUUCUUUAUGUAUUUUAUUAGGGGCAUCUUCAAAUGUAAUUGUAUUUUUUAGGGAAAAAUGAAUAAAAUAUUCUCUUGGAAUAAUUCCUGUACAAUCUUUCAAUUUUGUUUUUUAAUUUGUAGUAUUUUCUCAUUAAAAUAAGUAAAGAUUUGAAAAUAAAGGUUAAAGGCUUGACAUUUUUCUUUGAAGUUGUUUAAAGCUUGGGAAGAAAGGUUUAAGGCUGUCCACUUCUCUUAGAAAUAAUUGGUUUUACGCAUCUUUUGGUUACAACUUACAAGCCUCACAAGUUGUAAGUUAUUAUUCAGAUUUUUUAUAAAAGCACUGGUCAAGCAGAGUCAACUCAGAUAAAACUUAAAUUUCCCGCACAAACAAAAACUAACAAACAUAAAGAGCAACUCGUGAGGCUUGUAAUUUGAUCAUUUCUGUAUUUGUCAAUGCUUUAUUGAUUCUAAGGCUCUAAAAGCAAGUAAAUGCAACAGUUGUAUGCAAUUGAUGAAUAUAGAUCAGCAAAUCCAAAAAUUGUUGAUAAUAUUACUUAGUAAGGUUACGAAUCCAUCUGCAAGACAGCUGUAAAUAGUCAUAUACCCUGACGUAUAAACUUUUUAUAUGAUUAAUAAAGGAUAAGAGCAUAUUCCAAAAUCAAUUUCUACUUAAAUUUAUAGUAGUCAUGCAAAAUAGAGAUAGUGAAUGUGUAUAUCACUGUGCAGAUUCUUCCAUGAAUCUGAAUCUUUCUGUCGAAGAUAAUGUUAGGAAUGCACAUAGAAGUAAUACGGUACUGCAUGUUAUAAAGGAAAUUAUUAAUUUUGUAAAGUACCUUAGCGAUUCUGCUUUUGCUAACUUUGUUACUGUCUCAAACCAUUUAUCAUACAUGGAAGACUCUUGAGAUUCUUGCAAUGUUUCAAAUUCGACAAGACAUUGCCUGAAAGAAGUUCAAUAGAUGCUGGCAAUCCUCUUAUAGCAGUUCUUCCAAAUGAAGCUCCAAGAGCUGAUCCCUGCUUGAAGUUUUCUCUGGGAACUCUCUGAAUUUCAAAGGGCUGGAGAGAUUCAAAGUUGACAGAUAUUUUAGAGCACUUAUGGUCCUUGGAAGACACUCAAGAAUUUUGCAGCCAUUCAGAGUCAACUGAGCAAGUCCAAAUAGAAGUUCAAUUGAUAAUGCCAGUUCUUUAAUAUCAGUUCCAUCCGAAAGAACUUCCCACAAUGUCUAGAAAUUCCUUCAAUUUCCAGCAACCAGAAAGAACACGUGUCUUAAGAGAUUUCAUAAAGAUCUUGCCUGGAAGAGUUGAAAGACUUGUACAACCUUUCAAAUUCAACAGAAUCAGCUUCUUUGAAGAAGAAAAAAUGAGUGAAUCUCCUGCAACCUUGUAAAUCUUUCAGAAAUCAGCUCCCCUAAAUUUGGUACUCUUGUGAAGUCUGAUUGGUCAUAUUAGAAAAGGCUUUAGCACUGACAUGCAUCUCUUUGUUGUUAAAGUGAUCAAAUAUGAUGCUUCAACUACAUCAGUUUCCUAAACAUUAUAACAAAAAAUAAGUGGGAACAAAAAAAAAAAUGAAAGAAAGAAAAUAUUGAUAAAACUAUGCAAAGGUUUAACUAGUUAAAUAAGUGAUCAUGAUCCCAAAAUUGCAAGUUUUCAACCGAACUGAACAUUUACUUGUGCUUUGUGAUAAUACAUGGCAUAUAUCGGCUUUUUUCCACAAUCUAUUGCAGUUUCCAGGUUCCUGAUGGGAUUGCCUCCUAACAAUUUGUCUACCCCAUUUCUUGUAACUACUCAUGCAUCCACAGUCCGCUGAAAUCAUCUACAGUUAAUAGAGUUUUUUCAAUAGGACCAACAAUUUCGAUAAUUGGGUCAAAAUCACAAUAUUUGAGAAUUUUUUUCACAUAAUCUCUGUACUUCCCUUCAUAGAAACAUGCAAGAUCGAGAAAUAUUUUCUUCUCUGUUUCUUUUGACCCAUCAAAACUUAUUUGAAGUACAUCAAGAAUCUCAUUUUCAGGAUCUCCCUAUAGUCAUUGUAGUAUAAUUCUGAACAUAUUUUCUUCUCUGCUUUGGAAAUUAAUGAUCUUUUUCUUCAUAUUUAUUCUGAAAAUUCAAAAACAUAAUUGAAAAUAAAGAGAACUACAGGGCAUAAAACUUACAACUUUGAUUAUGUUGCAAGCAGCAUAGUAAUUUUCUUAAUAAGAAUUCCGACAGCAAACAUUCUAAGCUCUAACAUCAAAAUGUUUUAAAUAUCAACUACAUGUCAACGAUGCGGAAUUCCAAGGCAUCUUCGAAUCCUCGUGAUUGUUUCAUAGAUAAAUCUGAUCUAGAUCUGAGUCCAUAUUUAACAUAUUCAUCGACCCAUUUUCAGACAUGGCAUGAAUUGUAAAUAAAGCAAAAAAUUGCAAAAAGCAACAAAGAAACAAAAAACAGAUUCUAUGUUCAGCCACAAAUGGGCUAUUUCACAGCCAAGCACAGCAUCAUUCCAACAAAUGUGAUGAUAUUUUUUUCCUUCAUUCUAUGACCCGACUCUGUUUUAUGUCUAAAACUCAAGAAAUUCUACAAUUCCUUCGUUCUACCACAUCAUUCACGCAACAACAAAUAAUCAAAUUCUGUCAUGCAUAUUUUUAUUUAGAAAUUUGCCAAAAAAAAUUGAUUAAAUAAACACUGGGUUUGCACUGUGUUUGUGGUAAAAUUUUGUUAAAGACAUGUGUACAUAAACUACCAAGGCACUGAAGAUAUGGAAUUUGAUAGUGACUGAAUAUAUUGACAAUACAUAUUGAUAGUGAAGGAAUCUCAGAAUCUGCUCACUAGCUAUGACUCACGCAGGACAAACCUUCACGAAUUGACCUUGUUGAUUGAUUGCUUUUGCUUGGGAAACCAUAGAGUUGAUGCAACCCAUCAG